Molecule: ribosomal RNA, 474 nt
Filed under: uncultured organism
Description: partial 16S ribosomal RNA
Rfam family: Bacterial small subunit ribosomal RNA
Source: RNAcentral
CGUACACUCCUACGGGAGGCAGCAGUGGGGAAUAUUGCACAAUGGGCGCAAGCCUGAUGCAGCCAUGCCGCGUGUAUGAAGAAGGCCUUCGGGUUGUAAAGUACUUUCAGCGGGGAGGAAGGCGAUAAGGUUAAUAACCUUGUUGAUUGACGUUACCCGCAGAAGAAGCACCGGCUAACUCCGUGCCAGCAGCCGCGGUAAUACGGAGGGUGCAAGCGUUAAUCGGAAUUACUGGGCGUAAAGCGCACGCAGGCGGUCUGUCAAGUCGGAUGUGAAAUCCCCGGGCUCAACCUGGGAACUGCAUUCGAAACUGGCAGGCUAGAGUCUUGUAGAGGGGGGUAGAAUUCCAGGUGUAGCGGUGAAAUGCGUAGAGAUCUGGAGGAAUACCGGUGGCGAAGGCGGCCCCCUGGACAAAGACUGACGCUCAGGUGCGAAAGCGUGGGGAGCAAACAGGAUUAGAAACCCCAGUAGUCC